GGGCCCGCACAAGCGGUGGAGCAUGUGGUUUAAUUCGAUGCAACGCGAAGAACCUUACCAGGACUUGACAUACUACAAAUUCUUUUGAGAAAAAGAAGUGCCUUCGGGAAUGUAGAUACAGGUGGUGCAUGGCUGUCGUCAGCUCGUGUCGUGAGAUGUUGGGUUAAGUCCCGCAACGAGCGCAACCCUUAUCUUCAGUUGCCAUCAGGUUAUGCUGGGCACUCUGAAGAAACUGCCGGUGAUAAGCCGGAGGAAGGCGGGGAUGACGUCAAGUCCUCAUGGCCCUUAUGACCUGGGCUACACACGUGCUACAAUGGCAGUGACAAUGAGCAGCGAUAGCGCGAGCUUCAGCUAACCUCAAAAACCUGUCUCAGUUCGGAUUGAACUCUGCAACUCGAGUUCAUGAAGUCGGAAUCGCUAGUAAUCG
This 427-nucleotide ribosomal RNA is filed under the name uncultured bacterium. RNAcentral describes it as "bacterial SSU rRNA". It matches the Rfam family "Bacterial small subunit ribosomal RNA", at positions 917 to 1344 of the family's 1533-position model. The record is from RNAcentral.